Long non-coding RNA from Amphimedon queenslandica, 448 nucleotides. RefSeq lists it as uncharacterized. Lineage: Eukaryota; Metazoa; Porifera; Demospongiae; Haplosclerida; Niphatidae. The record is from RefSeq and is a predicted model, not a curated record. The transcript is spliced from 3 exons.
CGCUGUUACCGAUUAAAUCCCGCUCCUUAUCCCCAUCCCCACCCCGCUUUUACCAAGUCCCUUAUUGAAAUAACUAUAUUCUUUCUUCUGUAGAUGUGAAAGCUGAUCAAGGAGACUUACAUGUCGAUGAGCCCAGUAUUGCUGAAGACUCUUCAUCUCCCAUUAAAAUAACUAACACAAUCUAAAGGGUGCUACCCCAAAGAACGGUCCCUUAUAGUCUCUGCCCUCCUCUGUCCUCUCACUGGCUAUGAAUCAUCCAAUACAUCAGAAUGUUGCCAUGACUGGUGAACUGUCACUCACUGGAAAGAGAGUCAUUGGCUCAGAUCAUUGAGGCUGGUAAAGGAGUUAUAGAUGAUCCUAAAAGCCCCCAGGCAACAUGUUGCCUAGUGUAUGGGGCCUUUACACAUCUUGCUGAUUUUGGAGCUGCACUGACCAGUGGAGAAUCACA